This 75-nucleotide transfer RNA is filed under the name Nakamurella silvestris. RNAcentral describes it as "tRNA-Val". It matches the Rfam family "tRNA". Rfam says of the family: Transfer RNA (tRNA) molecules are approximately 80 nucleotides in length. Their secondary structure includes four short double-helical elements and three loops (D, anti-codon, and T loops). The record is from RNAcentral. Lineage: Bacteria; Bacillati; Actinomycetota; Actinomycetes; Nakamurellales; Nakamurellaceae.
GGGCGUGUAGCUCAGCGGAAGAGCAUCUCGUUUACACCGAGACGGUCGGGGGUUCGAUCCCCUCCGCGCCCACCA